AAGAGUCUAGUUUAUUAAAACAUUAGCUUGUCAAGCUUAAAUUACUUAUUUUACUUGUGUCUCUUU
RNAcentral lists this transfer RNA (66 nucleotides) under Hishimonus phycitis. RNAcentral describes it as "tRNA-Asp". The record is from RNAcentral. Lineage: Eukaryota; Metazoa; Arthropoda; Insecta; Hemiptera; Cicadellidae.